CCCUUAGAUGUUCUGGGCCGCACGCGCGCUACACUGACGAAGUCAGCGAGCAUCUCCUACGCCGAAAGGUGCGGGGAAUCUUGUGGAACUUUGUCGUGCUGGGGAUUGAUUUUUGAAAUUCUUGAUCAUCAACGAGGAAUUCCUAGUAAGCGCAAGUCAGCAGCUUGCGUUGAUUACGUCCCUGCCCUUUGUACACACCGCCCGUCGCUACUACCGAUUGAAUGGUUUAGUGAGAUUUUUGGACUGGAACUCUCUUGUUCAGCAAUGAACGAGAGGGACUCUGGGAAGCUAUUCUAACUGUAUCAUUUAGAGGAAGUAAAAGUCGUAACA
RNAcentral lists this ribosomal RNA (330 nucleotides) under uncultured eukaryote. Its description in RNAcentral is "partial 18S ribosomal RNA". It matches the Rfam family "Eukaryotic small subunit ribosomal RNA", at positions 1470 to 1796 of the family's 1831-position model. The record is from RNAcentral.